CCAAUAGCGUAUAUUAAAGUUGUUGCAGUUAAAAAGCUCGUAGUUGAAUUUCAGGCCUGGCUGGACGGUCCGCCCUUCGGGUGAGUACUGUCUGUGGUCGGGUCCUACCUUCUGGCGAAGCGUCAUGGCCUUAACCGGCCGUGGCGGGGAACCAGGACUUUUACUGUGAAAAAAUUAGAGUGUUCAAAGCAGGCAAUCGCUUGGAUACAUUAGCAUGGAAUAAUGGAAUAGGACAAUGGUUCUAUUUGUUGGUUUCUAGGACCGUUGUAAUGAUUAAUAGGGUUAGUUGGGGGCAUUAGUAUUCAAUUGUCAGAGGUGAAAUUCUUGGAUUUAUUGAAGACUAACUACUGCGAAAGCAUUUGCCAAGGAUGUUUUCAUUAAUCAAGAACGAAAGUUAGGGGAUCGAAGACGAUCAGAUACCGUCGUAGUCUUAACCAUAAACUAUGCCGACUAGGAAUCGGGCGAUGUUGAAAAAAUGACGCGCUCGGCACCUCAUG
This 497-nucleotide unclassified non-coding RNA is filed under the name uncultured Paraglomus. RNAcentral describes it as "SSU rRNA". It matches the Rfam family "Eukaryotic small subunit ribosomal RNA", at positions 591 to 1092 of the family's 1831-position model. Lineage: Eukaryota; Fungi; Glomeromycota; Glomeromycetes; Paraglomerales; Paraglomeraceae. The record is from RNAcentral.